UCCUCAGUGGUCCAGUGGUCAGGAUCGCCGCCUCUCAUUGUUCAGGUUCGCCUGUCUUUAGUCCGCGGCUGGCCGGGGUUCGAUUCCCCGCUGGGGAA
This is a non-coding RNA of Acaromyces ingoldii, 98 nucleotides long. Lineage: Eukaryota; Fungi; Basidiomycota; Exobasidiomycetes; Exobasidiales; Cryptobasidiaceae. The record is from the annotation of a RefSeq genome assembly.